CCUACGGGAGGCAGCAGUGGGGAAUAUUGCACAAUGGGGGAAACCCUGAUGCAGCGACGCCGCGUAGGAGGAAGAAGGUCUUCGGAUUGUAAACUCCUGUUGUUGAGGAAGAUAAUGACGGUACUCAACAAGGAAGUGACGGCUAACUACGUGC
RNAcentral lists this ribosomal RNA (154 nucleotides) under uncultured bacterium. RNAcentral describes it as "partial 16S ribosomal RNA". It matches the Rfam family "Bacterial small subunit ribosomal RNA", at positions 338 to 508 of the family's 1533-position model. The record is from RNAcentral.